GACGAACGCUGGCGGCGCGCCUAACACAUGCAAGUCGAACGAGCGAGCGAGAGCUUGCUUUCUUGAGCGAGUGGCGAACGGGUGAGUAACGCGUGAGGAACCUGCCUCAAAGAGGGGGACAACAGUUGGAAACGACUGCUAAUACCGCAUAAGCCCACGGUGCCGCAUGGCACAGAGGGAAAAGGAGCAAUCCGCUUUGAGAUGGCCUCGCGUCCGAUUAGCUAGUUGGUGAGGUAACGGCCCACCAAGGCGACGAUCGGUAGCCGGACUGAGAGGUUGAACGGCCACAUUGGGACUGAGACACGGCCCAGACUCCUACGGGAGGCAGCAGUGGGGAAUAUUGCACAAUGGGGGAAACCCUGAUGCAGCGACGCCGCGUGGAGGAAGAAGGUCUUCGGAUUGUAAACUCCUGUUGUUGGGGAAGAUAAUGAAGGUACCCAACAAGGAAGUGACGGCGAACUACGU
Molecule: ribosomal RNA, 465 nt
Filed under: uncultured bacterium
Lineage: Bacteria
Description: partial 16S ribosomal RNA
Rfam family: Bacterial small subunit ribosomal RNA
Source: RNAcentral